AACGAACGCUGGCGGCAUGCCUAACACAUGCAAGUCGAACGAGACCUUCGGGUCUAGUGGCGCACGGGUGCGUAACGCGUGGGAACCUGCCCUUAGGUUCGGAAUAACUCCCCGAAAGGGGUGCUAAUACCGGAUAAUGUCUUCGGACCAAAGAUUUAUCGCCUUUGGAUGGGCCCGCGUUGGAUUAGCUAGUUGGUAGGGUAAAAGCCUACCAAGGCGACGAUCCAUAGCUGGUCUGAGAGGAUGAUCAGCAACACUGGGACUGAGACACGGCCCAGACUCCUACGGGAAGCAGCAGUGGGGAAUAUUGGACAAUGGGCGAAAGCCUGAUCCAGCAAUGCCGCGUGAGUGAUGAAGGCCUUAGGGUUGUAAAGCUCUUUUACCCGGGAUGAUAAUGACAGUACCGGGAGAAUAAGCUCCGGCUAACUCCGUG
Molecule: ribosomal RNA, 433 nt
Filed under: uncultured bacterium
Lineage: Bacteria
Description: partial 16S ribosomal RNA
Rfam family: Bacterial small subunit ribosomal RNA
Source: RNAcentral